RNAcentral lists this ribosomal RNA (524 nucleotides) under uncultured bacterium. RNAcentral's name for it is "partial 16S ribosomal RNA". It matches the Rfam family "Bacterial small subunit ribosomal RNA", at positions 28 to 523 of the family's 1533-position model. The record is from RNAcentral.
GACGAACGCUGGCGGCGUGCCUAAUACAUGCAAGUCGAGCGCAGGAAAUCGACGGAACCCUUCGGGGGGAAGUCGAUGGAAUGAGCGGCGGACGGGUGAGUAACACGUAAAGAACCUGCCCUCAGGUCUGGGAUAACCACGAGAAAUCGGGGCUAAUACCGGAUGGGUCAUCGGACCGCAUGGUCCGAGGAUGAAAGGCGCUUCGGCGUCGCCUGGGGAUGGCUUUGCGGUGCAUUAGCUAGUUGGUGGGGUAAUGGCCCACCAAGGCGACGAGGCAUAGCCGACCUGAGAGGGUGAGCGGCCACACUGGGACGGAGACACGGCCCAGACUCCUACGGGAGGCAGCAGUAGGGAAUCUUCCACAAUGGACGAAAGUCUGAUGGAGCAACGCCGCGUGAACGAUGAAGGCCUUCGGGUCGUAAAGUUCUGUUGUAAGGGAAGAACAAGUGCCGCAGGCAAUGGCGGCACCUUGACGGUACCUUGCGAGAAAGCCACGGCUAACUACGUGCCAGCCGCCGCCGUAA